CUCCUGACAAAGCCAGAGCUCCUUUCAGGAGGUUCUCUCAUAUCACUGCAAGUCUCACUGGCUGCUGGUGACAGCGCCCUCCCUUUAUCCUUUCAAGCCCAGAUAGCAGCUGUUGCUGGUCCAGGAUUUUGAACUAUCUCUGGGUGAGACCAAGAAAAAGGCAGAAGAGAGAUGAGGAUGCACUCCUAAGAGAAGACUACCUGAAAGGCGUGUACACUGGUCUAGCAGUUGAGGUCAGCUAGUGUUCCAUCUAUCUUCUGUCAUGUCUUUUCUAGGUCAUCAUUCUAGGCUUUGUUGAAGCAUGCAUUUUUGGCAUGAGGGUGGCAGCCUUUGCACUAUGUGCAUGGCUGAGGAGUUAGGAUCUGGAGGGUGAUGAAAGGUAAGUUGUACUUGGUAAAUUGCAUUAUCUUUUCUGCAA
RNAcentral lists this long non-coding RNA (418 nucleotides) under Pan troglodytes (chimpanzee). RNAcentral describes it as "lncRNA (ENSPTRG00000053922.1)". Lineage: Eukaryota; Metazoa; Chordata; Mammalia; Primates; Hominidae. The record is from RNAcentral.